This 519-nucleotide ribosomal RNA is filed under the name uncultured bacterium. Its description in RNAcentral is "bacterial SSU rRNA". It matches the Rfam family "Bacterial small subunit ribosomal RNA", at positions 991 to 1509 of the family's 1533-position model. The record is from RNAcentral.
GAGAACUUAGCAGAGAUGCUUUGGUGCCUUCGGGAACUCUGAGGACAGGUGCUGCAUGGCUGCCGUCAGCUCGUGUUGUGAAAUGUUGGGUUAAGUCCCGCAACGAGCGCAACCCUUAUCCUUUGUUGCCAGCGGUUCGGCCGGGAACUCAAAGGAGACUGCCGGUGAUAAACCGGAGGAAGGUGGGGAUGACGUCAAGUCAUCAUGGCCCUUACGGCCAGGGCUACACACGUGCUACAAUGGCGCAUACAAAGAGAAGCGACCUCGCGAGAGCAAGCGGACCUCAUAAAGUGCGUCGUAGUCCGGAUUGGAGUCUGCAACUCGACUCCAUGAAGUCGGAAUCGCUAGUAAUCGUAGAUCAGAAUGCUACGGUGAAUACGUUCCCGGGCCUUGUACACACCGCCCGUCACACCAUGGGAGUGGGUUGCAAAAGAAGUAGGUAGCUUAACCUUCGGGAGGGCGCUUACCACUUUGUGAUUCAUGACUGGGGUGAAGUCGUAACAAGGUAGGCGUAGCGAG